This 753-nucleotide ribosomal RNA is filed under the name uncultured Methanosaeta sp. Its description in RNAcentral is "bacterial SSU rRNA". It matches the Rfam family "Archaeal small subunit ribosomal RNA", at positions 102 to 856 of the family's 1478-position model. The record is from RNAcentral. Lineage: Archaea; Methanobacteriati; Methanobacteriota; Methanomicrobia; Methanotrichales; Methanotrichaceae.
GGACAACCUGCCCUUAGGUUGGGUAUAAACCCGGGAAACUGGGUAUAAUACCCGAUAGGUCUCGAUUGCUGGAAUGCAUCGAGAUUUAAAGCUCCGGCGCCUAAGGAUGGGUCUGCGGCCUAUCAGGUAGUAGUGGGUGUAGCGUACCUACUAGCCUACGACGGGUACGGGUUGUGAGAGCAAGAGCCCGGAGAUGGAUUCUGAGACACGAAUCCAGGCCCUACGGGGUGCAGCAGGCGCGAAAACUUUACAAUGCUGGCAACAGCGAUAAGGGAACCUCGAGUGCCAGGUUACAAAUCUGGCUGUCGAGAUGCCUAAAAAGCAUUUCAUAGCAAGGGCCGGGCAAGACCGGUGCCAGCCGCCGCGGUAACACCGGCGGCUCGAGUGGUAACCGUUAUUAUUGGGUCUGAAGGGUCUGUAGCCGGCCGGAUAAGUCUCUUGAGAAAUCUGGCAGCUUAACUGUCAGGCUUUCAGGAGAUACUGUCUUGCUCGAGGCCGGGAGAGGUGAGAGGUACUUCAGGGGUAGGGGUGAAAUCUUGUAAUCCUUGAAGGACCACCAGUGGCGAAGGCGUCUCACCAGAACGGACCUGACGGCAAGGGACGAAAGCUAGGGGCACGAACCGGAUUAGAUACCCGGGUAGUCCUAGCCGUAAACGAUACUCGCUAGGUGUCGGCCACGGUGCGACCGUUGUCGGUGCCGUAGGGAAGCCGUGAAGCGAGCCACCUGGGAAGUACGGCCGCAAGGCUGAAACU